AUUGAACGCUGGCGGCAGGCCUAACACAUGCAAGUCGAGCGGAUGAAGGGUGCUUGCUCCUGGAUUCAGCGGCGGACGGGUGAGUAAUGCCUAGGAAUCUGCCUGGUAGUGGGGGAUAACGUCCGGAAACGGGCGCUAAUACCGCAUACGUCCAGAGGGAGAAAGUGGGGGAUCUUCGGACCUCACGCUAUCAGAUGAGUCUAGGUCGGAUUAGCUAGUUGGUGGGUUAAAGGCCUACCAAGCCGACGAUCCGCAACUGGUCUGAGAGGAUGAUCAGUCACACUGGAGCUGAGACACGGUCCAGACUCCUACGGGAGGCAGCAGUGGGGAAUAUUGGACAAUGGGCGAAAGCCUGAUCCAGCCAGGCCGCGUGUGUGAAGAAGGUCUUCGGAGUGUAAAGCACUUUAAGUUGGGAGGAAGGGCAGUAAGUUAAUACCUUGCUGUUUUGACGUUACCAACAGAAUAAGCACCGGCUAACUUCGUG
Molecule: ribosomal RNA, 484 nt
Filed under: uncultured bacterium
Lineage: Bacteria
Description: partial 16S ribosomal RNA
Rfam family: Bacterial small subunit ribosomal RNA
Source: RNAcentral